GAGUUGAGUUAACUUAGUUCACUAUAAUUAAGGACAUUUCUUGGAUCAAUUCUAUUAAACUUGUCCCAAGACAAAAGAUUGCAGAACAUACUGAAAACUAUGCAAAAGUUUCCACUGCUGGAGAAGCCAUAGUCUCGUUAGCUUAAUGAGCUGCACUCUCAUCAUGCUGGUUUAUUAGUGUGUUUUACCAUAUAUUUUUCUUGCAUAGUAUCUUCAGGUUGUUUUGAGCUUAUAUCUCAUUUUAUGAUUAUCCUCUUUAGUUCAUUUUAUCAACAGAUUUCUGAGUGUAAGAGAGAUAAACAAAGUGUGUGAUAUUGUUUAUUUUUGGUUUGUGAUAGCAGUUUACCUAUUUGUUUAGCAUUUAGAUGCCACAAGACUGGCUAAUUGGUCUCUUUGGGAUUCAAAUUGUAAUGUCCCUUUCAAUCAUUCCUUUGAAUUUGCCAUAUGUUUCUUUUGCUUUUUUAUCCCAUAUGAAUUAUUUGAAUAUGUACCAAUGCUGUUGUAUUUAACAAUGUCUUGUUUUUUUAGAAAAUCUAACGUGUAGGCAGCUGAAAUUUCCCAUCUUCAUUAGUCCAGUUCUUACUGUAAACUAGUGUGUGUUUUCAAGGAACUUUUGUGAUUUUCCAAGUUGAGCAUGUAUGUUUGGAACUUUUAAGUGGAUAACUGAAGUGACAUUGUGAUAUUGUUGGGUACCUAGGGCUUAGAUGAAUAAUGAUCAAAUAAAAUAACCAACGUAGGACUCUUCUAAAUUUAAAAGUAGAGGAACUGCCUCUAGCACUUCACUUGGCAUAAGGAGAAAACAUUUCUCUGGGUGGCAGAACUCAAACCAUAAACCAG
This 837-nucleotide unclassified non-coding RNA is filed under the name Hevea brasiliensis (rubber tree). Lineage: Eukaryota; Viridiplantae; Streptophyta; Magnoliopsida; Malpighiales; Euphorbiaceae. The record is from RNAcentral.